Molecule: long non-coding RNA, 2107 nt
Filed under: Sus scrofa (pig)
Lineage: Eukaryota; Metazoa; Chordata; Mammalia; Artiodactyla; Suidae
Description: lncRNA (ENSSSCG00065079026.1)
Source: RNAcentral
UUUUUUAUUUUUUUAGGCAAGAAAUAGAUUCAUUAAGAUAGGACACUUGUAAGAGAUGCAAGCAGGCAGGCAAGGAAGCUCUCCCCUGAGGAUCUGGUGGGCUGUAGUUUUAUCAUCCAGGGGGAAAGGGGGUUGGAAAAGCCCAUCUCUUCCUUCCUGGGAGUAGCAGCUCCUCCUUGGUGUCUGGUAAGGUGUGUAUUCAAAUCCGCAGAAGGCAGGUCCUCAGACUCCUGCCCUGGGUCUGAAUCUGAAUGCAGGCCUCAUCCCAUCCUGCACCCAACGACUUGAAGCAAUUUUCGCACUUGUGGAAAGUGUUUUAGAAGAGAAACAGGGCAUAAAGAAGGGGGCCUUAGGAGUAAGAAAGACCUAGGGACAGGUCCCAGCUCUGGCACUCACCUGUGCUGAUGCCCCUGGCAUAAGCUAGCAUUUACUGUUUGUGGGGGGCGGAGGGUGGCACAGGGCCAGAGCGAGAAGGGAGACCCAGAGUUCACGGGACGAGGUCCUUCCAGAGUCACGGCCAGGCUAACAAAGUGCUGAGUCAAAUGUUCCACUCGCCUACCUUGACAAACAUCCCUUCCUGGAAACAUCUGAAGGCCAGACGCUCAUGCAGAAUUCUUGGACUCUCCAGAAUGUUCUGGAAGUUUGGUGGAAUUACCCCCUCACUGGCAAUACCGAAGCUUGUUAAGAGUUAAUCAGGGCUGACGCCUGAACAACUUGGGUCAUUAGGCACAAAGACUCUCCACGCAGGCGAAAAUCUGCGUAUAAGUUACAGUCAGCCCCCCAGAUUUACGAGUUGCAGAUUCAACCAGUUGCAGUUCAACCAGUUGUGCAGAUUCAACCAGUUGUGGAUUGUGUAGUGCUAUCACCCUUACUAUUGCAAAAAAUCCAUGUAUAAAUGGACCUGUGCAAUUCAAACCUGUGUUUUUCAAGGGUCAAAUAUAUUCCUCUCUAGAGAAUCUAAAAAUGAAAAAAAAAGGGGGGGGGGUUCCUGUUGUGGUUCAGCAGUAACGACCAUGACUGGUACGAAUGAGGAUGCAGGUUCCAUCCCUGGCCUGGUGUUGCCAUGGGCUGCGGUGUAGGUCUCAGAUGCGGCUUGGACCUGGUGUUGCUGUGGCUUGCCAGAUCCGAGCCACAUCGGCAACCUACACCAGAGCUCAGGGCAAUACCUGAUCCUUAACCCACCGAGCAAAGGCAGGGAUUGAGCCCGCAUCCUCAUGGAUAGUAGUUGGGCUCAUUUCCGCUGAGCCACAAGGAGAAUUCCUAACUGGAGUUUUUGGAAAUAAGCACAGUGAGAGACAGACUUGUCCCCAGAAGUCUGACUGCACACUGGAUAGCAGCUCAGUAAUUUGUCAGAAUCCAGAAUCUCAAAUAUGAUAGUCCAUCUUACAUAUUCUCUUUUUUUUUGGUCAUGCCCAUGGUAUGCAGAAGUUCCGAGGCCAGGGAUCAAACCCACGCCACAGCAGCAACCUGAGCUGCUGUAGUGACAAUGCUGAUCCUUAACCUGCUGUGCCACAAAGGAACACUGUUUCCUAUACUUUAAAGCGCAAUCUUGUCAUGUGCUAACCGAAUUCAAAAGAGGCUAAUAAUAUAUAAACCAGAAGGCCAAUUCACUAAUUUCUGAUGAUACACAGACUGAUUUAUCUGCAUUGCUUUGCUUGUGCCUCUGGGAAGGCAAUCAUGCAACCUGAGUUCUCAUUCCCAGGCAUCCAUGGUCCUUGAGAGCCCAAAUGAGUAAGCAGGAGGUGGCUUGGGAAGUUGGAGCAAAGAGCAGAAGAUUUUUUUUUUUCCUUAUUAGGGCUGCACCUGCAGUAUAUGGACAUUCCCAGGCUAGGGGUCGAAUCAGAGCUGCAACUACUGGCCUACGCCACAGCCACAGUAAUGCCAGAUCUGAGCGCAUCUGUGACCUACAGCUCAGCUCAUGGCAAUGCCAGAUCCUUAACUCACUGAGCAAGGCCAGGGAUUGAACCCACAUCCUCAUGGAUACUAGUCGGAUUCUUAACCCGCUGAGCCACAGCAGGAACUCUGAGCAGUGGAUAUUUUUGAGGGCAACUCCGUUCACAUUAUGGUGAGAACUAGAGCAGGUGUCUCCUGAUCAGACUGCUACUCU